This 217-nucleotide unclassified non-coding RNA is filed under the name Hevea brasiliensis (rubber tree). Lineage: Eukaryota; Viridiplantae; Streptophyta; Magnoliopsida; Malpighiales; Euphorbiaceae. The record is from RNAcentral.
GUCAAAGAAUUGACCAAUUUCUGUUUCUUAAAAUUCAAAAGUGUUUAAAAUAUUGAUAGAAGCUAAAGCUGCAGAAAAAAAGGCUCUGUCAAAAUUUAUUUACGUAUAUAUGUGUAUACACAAACAUGCGUGUGUGUAUAUUGACUAUUGAGAUCUACAUAAGCCACAUAUUAUCUUUUGGCCAAUUCAUGUGCUUUGGAUUAGUUGAGAGAGUGUU